AUUGAACGCUGGCGGAAUGCUUUACACAUGCAAGUCGGACGGCAGCACGGGAGCUUGCUCCUGGUGGCGAGUGGCGAACGGGUGAGUAAUGCGUCGGAACGUGCCGAGUAAUGGGGGAUAACGCAGCGAAAGUUUUGCUAAUACCGCAUACGCCCCGAGGGGGAAAGCAGGGGAUCUUAGGACCUUGCGUUAUUCGAGCGGCCGACGUCUGAUUAGCUAGUUGGUGGGGUAAAGGCCUACCAAGGCGACGAUCAGUAGCGGGACUGAGAGGAUGAUCCGCCACACUGGGACUGAGACACGGCCCAGACUCCUACGGGAGGCAGCAGUGGGGAAUUUUGGACAAUGGGGGCAACCCUGAUCCAGCCAUUCCGCGUGAGUGAAGAAGGCCUUCGGGUUGUAAAGCUCUUUCGGCAGGAACGAAACGGCGGGCUCUAACAUAGCCUGUUAAUGACGGUACCUGAAGAAGAAGCACCGGCUAACUACGUGCCAGCAGCCGCGGUAAUACGUAGGGUGCGAGCGUUAAUCGGAAUUACUGGGCGUAAAGCGUGCGCCGGCGGAUUGUUAAGCAAGACGUGAAAUCCCCGGGCUUAACCUGGGAAUGGCGUUUUGAACUGGCAGUCUAGAGUGCGUCAGAGGGGGGUGGAAUUCCACGUGUAGCAGUGAAAUGCGUAGAGAUGUGGAGGAACACCGAUGGCGAAAGCAGCCCCCUGGGAUGACACUGACGCUCAUGUACGAAAGCGUGGGUAGC
RNAcentral lists this ribosomal RNA (748 nucleotides) under uncultured Rhodocyclaceae bacterium. RNAcentral's name for it is "bacterial SSU rRNA". It matches the Rfam family "Bacterial small subunit ribosomal RNA", at positions 28 to 769 of the family's 1533-position model. The record is from RNAcentral. Lineage: Bacteria; Pseudomonadati; Pseudomonadota; Betaproteobacteria; Rhodocyclales; Rhodocyclaceae.